GGUAAGAGGAGCAGGAGCAACUGAAUUUCCGUAUUAAAAAAAGGAACUUUUCCUCUUAUCAUCCACAAUAUAUAACAGGACUGCUAGAUGGAUCAUGAUCAUAAGUGUGAAGGUAAACUAUUAUAGCUUCCAGGAGAUAACAGAAAAAUAUCUCCAUGAUUUUAAUGAUGGUUUCUUCAACAUGUCACAAAAAGUAUUUAUAGUAGUGGCAAAUAGGACUUUAUUAAAAUUAAGAACUUGGGUUCAUCAAGACACCAUUAAGAGAAUGAAAAGGAAGACAGAGUGGGAAAAGAUAUUUUCAAUCCAUCUAUCUGACAAAGGACUUAUAUCAAGUAUAUCCAAGUAUACCUAAAUAUUCCAUAAGUAUAUCUAAGACAGCAGAAAUACUGAAGCCUAUCCACAUGAAAAGGAAAGGAAUGAUUAAUUAGGAAAGUAAUAAGAAGAGAGAAAACACUGUAUUGGGAGAGAAACGAAAACAAGGGUAAAUUUUAUGUGAUGAGCUUACAAGACAUUGGUGAGAAAUGUUUGUGGAAAUUUAGUUAGUUCGUCAAUGAGAAGAGAAUAUAAACUAAGAAGAUAUGCUUAGCAUGUAAAUGUUAUUAAAACAAUGACAAGGAUAAAUAAUAGAAUAGAUGGGAACAUUGUUGGAAAAUUAUUAGGCAUUAUCUUUUUGGAUUUCAACAAUCAAGUUUUCUUUUGGAAUUCCCCAAAAUCAACUUGGAAGGGAUACAAAGUGGAAGAUAUUUCUGGCCUCCGUAGCUCAACUCAAAGGCAACACUGAGCUGAAAUAAACAGAAUAUCUGGUGCUAUUAAUCAUUUGUACACCAGGAACUUUAUGAGUUCUUGUCAGACACGUUCCAGUUGCUCCUUGAGACCCACUCUCCACUCCCACUCCCUGACUCACUCUUCUCUCUGUGAUGGGAAUUGACAUGUAGGAACCCCUCUGGCUUCCAGUGGCUGUGGUCAUUAGGACAUGCUUUCAGGAGAUUGGCAGGGAGGAAGAGAGUGAGGUCCAGGCAUUUAUUCUCCACUUCCAUUCCUGCAAGUUGCUUCGGGCUGGCCACUGCUCCUCUCAAGCGGGCCUUCUCUCCAUAUUUAUUUCCUUCUAGGAUUCCGUAACUGCUUCUACCUUCACACCUUUGAGCCUAGGAUGGUUACUAUCCCCGAGGAAGCCCACACAUACCUUUGAAAAUAGCCUCUUCAUGGAUCUUCCUCAAAUUAUCCUGAUUUGAGGGUGCCCCCUGUCUCUCACUGAGUCUCCAACUGAGAAACACGAGGCAGGUGUCACUCAGAACAUUUAUAAUCACACAGUCAUUUCUCCCAAAUUUAGGAAGAAACAUCCUUUCAACAGCCUAGCCUGAUCUUCUAAUGAUUUUUAGGGAAAGAGAGUCAAUGUUUUCCCUAAAUAACAUACCCAGCAUUAAACCAACCUUUGCUGACAGAAAUUUAUACUUUUUACACAAUGAAAAUCCAUACCUCUUUCCCUCUUUAUGCUUGUCACUGAGAUCACAGGAUAUCCGUGUUAAGAAGGGACCUUGGACAUCAUCAAAUCCAGACAUUUCCAAAUGGGUGUUUCUGUUUGUGCUCUGGAUACAUGUUCUAAGUUUCAAAAGGAUAGAUGGAAAUUAUUCAUCUGUCUAGGCUGGCACCACAGGGGUUCUUCUGUUGUUUGCAAUGUAUUUAGUGGACAAAAUCUUUCCAAACACACAUCCUCUAUGAAGAGUUGGGAACUCACCAACACAGCUUAACCUCCUCCUUGUAGCUCAGAGAGGCUAUAGCUUAUCCAAAUGCACUCAGUUAGCUUGUUGCAUAACUUGGAAUUCAGCCCUGGUUUUCCUGCUCCUCGUUAGUCCUCUUUCUAUUGCACAAUCCUCCUUCUUAGAUGAAAACUUCUUGACCCAAUACGGCUUUUAUUAUCCAUGUUCCCUCGGGAUAAAUCUCCAAAAAGCAAACUGCCAGGUAAGCGUAGCCUCGCUUCUCAAAGCACGGUCUGAGAACCAGCUGCAUCAAGAUCUCAAUAUCACCUGGAAGCUUGUUAGAAAGGCACACUCUCUGCCCCUCCCUAAACCUGCAGCAUCUUAACAAGAUGCCCUGGUGAUUCAUAUAUACAU
This is a long non-coding RNA of Equus caballus (horse), 2111 nucleotides long. NCBI's taxonomy places the organism in Eukaryota, Metazoa, Chordata, Mammalia, Perissodactyla, Equidae. The record is from Ensembl.